This 2175-nucleotide long non-coding RNA is filed under the name Danio rerio (zebrafish). RNAcentral describes it as "lncRNA si:dkey-20d21.6 (ENSDARG00000092715.3)". The record is from RNAcentral. Lineage: Eukaryota; Metazoa; Chordata; Actinopteri; Cypriniformes; Danionidae.
GGACCGCUUAAACCCAGGGGGUGGGGACAAAGUGUAAUAUUUUCGGGAUAAAAUCGACAGCCUGAUGAUUGCAUACUUCCCAUGUGUGCCUGGUGACCCUUUGCCCAUCAGGUGGACCCGGGAUACAUUUCUAUUUAGCACCCAUGAUCAAGCGACCUCAAAAUCCCCCUUUUACUUGUGGCAUCCAGAGUUUACCAUAUCACUGGAGCUGAAACUCUUGAAAUGCACAUAAUCUGACCUCACCUUCCUGCAUUCCUGGACUGUAAACACAUACACUGUGACGCUACAAAUGUUACCAAGUAAAUGCAUACAAAUACCACUAGAUGUCUUUAAACUAGACUGUUCUGUUGAAAAUAAACAUAGCAAGACCUUUUCUAGAGUUUCUAUAAAUGAAGCAACACCUAAUACCUCAAUAAAACCCAGUCACUCAUGUUGACCACUAUGACGUACCGCAUGCCAAACUUCACCCUGGAGCAGAAGCUGUUUCUGCUUCGGAGAAUCCAUGCGGUGGUAGACACGGUCCAGGACUUUCGGAAAGACACCAACACUACUGUGCACCGGAAUGCUGUGUGGGCAGAGCUGGCUCAGGCCUUCAAUGCGGCGUUCCCGAGUCGACCACCCAGCAGCAUCGGCUCUCUAAAGACACUGUGGAAAAGACUGAAGGUCGAGUGUCGUGUAGCCCUGCAGAAGAGACAGGAGCAGCAGGCCGCUGGGCUCCCAGUGUCUGCCCUCACUCAGGUGCAAAGAGAAGUGAUCGCCCUCGUACCAAACCUGAUCUCCUGUCUGGAGGAGGUGGAUGGAGACAGCAGUUAUGCCUCCGUUAGGGGCGGCUCACCUGGAGCAGUGAUGGGGCUUUCAGGCACUAAUGGGAGCGAGCAUGAAGAUGCUGACCACAGUCAAAAUGAUGAAGUAGACAGUAAGGAGAACUUGGCCAUUGAGCUUGGCUUAUCUUCUCCUACUCACCCACCUGUCAACUCUGGUAUUCCUCCGGGCUCUUCCUCCUCACCUCUCCACUCACAUUCACUGUCCUCCAGAUCCAGUCGUCCCUCCUUCAUCUACUCAACCCAUCCAGGAAGCACCUCAGGCCACGGAUCAGGGGCGAGGGCUGCAAACUUUGAUUCGGUACACAGAGAGCCUGCGGUGGCGCGCGGAUCAGUGGAGAAUUCGUUCCCGCCGGCGGACUCUUUUACCUCAGACUCUAAAUGGGAGGCACGUCGACAGGAGCUGUUUGAGCAGGAGCACCAGCAGACCAUGAGCCUGUUACUGCUGCAGCAGUGUGUGUGGGAGGAGAAGAGGAAAGCGGUCAGACAGAAGGAGAAGGCCGCUCGAGCCAAGAAGAGAUAUUACCAAGCCAAACUCCGCAAGAUCGGCGCGGGUCAUUCGCCUUCCAGUAGCGACAGCGAUGAUAACGAACAACACCCACGGACAUGAGUUUCAGAUGUUUACGACGUCUUAGAUAUGUUUACUUUCUUUUUGAAAGUCAUCUUUUUUAUUUUAAUAAUGCUGUUUGUUUACAAAACUUUUGAUUGUGAUGUUUGGGAAUGUGUCGUGUAUCAUAUGAAGGGGCGUUCAAGCAAGCAGGCUCAAAUAGCCAUCCACAGUAAUCUCACUGCCUUUUAUACUAUGGGGCCGUCGAAUGCCUGAUUAUGAUUGGCUGAUGAUCCUUCUAAGGCAGGGGUGAUGAACUCAGUUUUUGGAGGGCUGUAGCUCUGCACAGUGUAGUUCCUACUCUAAUUAAAAACACCUGACUGAUCAUACUAAUAGACUGAUUUCACAUGGUGGCCAUUUUAAUAGCAAAAGCGAGGCAGCGGUGAGAAGAAACCUGGAAAUAUCGCCUGGAGUCACACAGGAAUGGCGCUUGCGAUGGCGUAUUGUUGUGUACCUGGCUGUAUGUCUUAUCAGCGAAAAGUUAGUGAACCGAGUUCAUAAUUUCACUGCUUUUCGGCUGACCCGAAGGUCCAUUCUGAAUUUAUAGUGAAAAUAAAAAGAGAUAUCAGACCUAAUUUUCAGCUAAGUUAAGUGAAAUGGCAUUAGUUAGCUAACGUUUUCCUCCCCAAACACACAUUUUAGAUUCUAUUUAUCAAACUCAAGUUAAUGAACUCAUUCUUUUGCUAUAUUAGACCUGUCAAGAUACUUACGAAUUUAAGCAUUGAAAUAAAUUUAAAAAACGUAAAU